This is a long non-coding RNA of Odontomachus brunneus, 908 nucleotides long. RefSeq lists it as uncharacterized. NCBI's taxonomy places the organism in Eukaryota, Metazoa, Arthropoda, Insecta, Hymenoptera, Formicidae. The record is from RefSeq and is a predicted model, not a curated record. The transcript has 3 exons.
CAGUCCGCAAUGUUUCGCCUUUGAACCGGCACGCUAACUCGCUUCUCUCUUCUCCAUUCGUGCACUGUAAGAACAAGUGCACUAUAAAAACAAGUGUGUUACAUUAACACAUUUUACGUGUGUAAUCCAUGUAGUCGUUUUUGACACGCUUGCAGGUGUGUAAAUUAUGUAACACACAAGAAAGUGUAAGGGUAUCAGGUCGGAGUAACUAACGAUUUUCCAACUCGAUACAUCGAGAGCGCUGCCGAAGUCGAUAAGUCGAUAAGUGAAAAGAAAGAGGUAGGAGAGACGGAGUCUUACAAGUGGGAGAGAGGAACAAAAAGGAGCGGGCAAAGAGUUUGAGACAGACACGGAAUAUACACGGGAAGAGAGAAGCGCAAAAGGAUCGUGAGAAGAGAUAUAGAAAAAGUCGAAAAACCGUGUUAGUCGAAUAGUCGAUAAGAUCCCAGGGAAUAUUCGAGCUCAAGCGAAUAUCUCCUUAACGGAUUAGUUUAAAAGGCGUAUAUUUAGAUGAGGCGACGAGACGGUCGUACUGGCGAUUUUAAGAGGAAAUCGUAACUGUCUUACAAAAGUGUGUAGAUUUGCAAGAAACGUGAGGAUAUUGUAUUAAAGGUAGUGAUGGGAAAUGCCGUGACGGUCGGACCUGCGUCUUCUUUUCGAUCCGGAGAGAGAAAAAUACCCAAAGCGCGGUUUGCUGCUAGCUAUGCUGGGACUCGAACCUGGAUUUUUUUUCGCUUGCUGGGCGCUGCACUAAAUCACUGAGCUAUUUGACGUUUCAUGCUCACGACACUUUCUUUCCCAUAUAAUGUCGUAGACGUUACAUAAACUGUUUAGAUAAUAAAAAUAUGAUAAAUAAUAAAUAAUAUAUUAAUAAUAAAAUAAUAUAAUAAUAAUAAUAUAACAAUAAA